UGAAUCAUAUGUCUCCUAUUAUUGCUGC
RNAcentral lists this small RNA (28 nucleotides) under Bombyx mori (domestic silkworm). RNAcentral's name for it is "ovarian small RNA-31114". The record is from RNAcentral. Lineage: Eukaryota; Metazoa; Arthropoda; Insecta; Lepidoptera; Bombycidae.